Molecule: ribosomal RNA, 460 nt
Filed under: uncultured bacterium
Lineage: Bacteria
Description: partial 16S ribosomal RNA
Rfam family: Bacterial small subunit ribosomal RNA
Source: RNAcentral
CCUACGGGGUGCAGCAGUGAGGAAUAUUGGUCAAUGGACGAGAGUCUGAACCAGCCAAGUAGCGUGAAGGAUGACUGCCCUAUGGGUUGUAAACUUCUUUUAUAUGGGAAUAAAAUGUUCCACGUGUGGGAUUUUGUAUGUACCAUAUGAAUAAGGAUAGGCUAACUCCGUGCCAGCAGCCGCGGUAAUACGGAGGAUCCGAGCGUUAUCCGGAUUUAUUGGGUUUAAAGGGAGCGUAGGUGGAUUGUUAAGUCAGUUGUGAAAGUUUGCGGCUCAACCGUAAAAUUGCAGUUGAAACUGGCAGUCUUGAGUACAGUAGAGGUGGGCGGAAUUCGUGGUGUAGCGGUGAAAUGCUUAGAUAUCACGAAGAACUCCGAUUGCGAAGGCAGUUCACUGGACUGCAACUGACACUGAGGCUCGAAAGUGUGGGUAUCAAACAGGAUUAGAUACCCUAGUAGUC